Molecule: RNA transcript, 2110 nt
Organism: Lucilia sericata (common green bottle fly)
Lineage: Eukaryota; Metazoa; Arthropoda; Insecta; Diptera; Calliphoridae
Exons: 8
Source: RefSeq, a predicted model, not a curated record
AGUUGUAUUUUGACUUUUUAGUAGAACGUGUCCUCUAACAACAUGUGUUUUUAGCAGAGAAACAAAACAAGAAUUUUAAAAUAAAUUUAAAAGAAACAAAAAGUAUUUUAAUUUUUUAAUAAAAAUAAAAAUAUAUUUAAACUAAAUUAUACACAAAACUACAACUCGCCAUUAAAUUUAGCAAAAUGCAUAUUUCUUAUAAAUUUGGAUUAUUUUUAAUAUUUAUUUUAAGCAUAAGUUUUUAUCACACCAGAGCUGCACCCGUUACAAAUGAAACCUCCGUAUAUGAUGAUGAAUAUCGUGAUAAUUACGAUGAUGAUUAUUAUGAUGAUACAGAAGAUACCAAAAGUAAAGCAUCUACACCUAGUAGUAUAAAUCCAAUAACAACAACCACAAAAUCAUCUUCAUUCAUAUUUAAUUUAUUUGACAUCCCCCCAACGUAGUAAUCAUGUGGUAGAGCCCAGCUGCCCUAAGGCUUGCUUUUGUUUAGAAGAUUUCAAAUAUAUAAAAUGCUCAAAUGCUGGUCUCAAGGAAAUACCACGCGAUAUACCCACUACUGCAGCCAUUAUAGAUUUAAGUCAUAAUGAAAUACAAGAAAUUAAGAAAACCGAUUUUGCACAUCGUUCAAAAUUGCAAGAAUCAAUUUAAUAAUAAUCAUAUAGAGAAAUUGGAACAGGAGGUCUUGUGGAUUUACCUCGCUUACAAAGGCUAAAAUUGUCUAAUAAUCUUUUAACCUCUAUACAUCCCGAUACCUUUUAUGGGUGCUUCGGAUUUAAGUUUAUUGGAUUUAAGUAAUAAUUCCAUAAUUUAAAUGAUCAUGACUCAUUCCUAAAUCAACCUUCUCUAUUGGAAUUGAAUUGUCGUAAUUGUUCUUGGACGGAGCUGUAUGAUGAUACUUUUAAGAAUACUUCAUCAUUGACUGCUUUGAGAAUAGAUUUAAAUGAUUUUAAUAAGAAAAUCAAUACUAAAGCAUUUGUGCCGCUGAAAAACUUGAUUAAGCUACGUCUACCCGAAUUGGAUGCCCAUAGCACGGAGGAGCUAUGUAAUCUCUUGAAAUUUAUCGAUAAUAUUGGUUUUAAACAUUUCGAUGUUAGUUGCUAUGAAUUGGUUUUGGGUGCAAGCUACAAUGAAAGUUUAAUCUUGGCCACGGAACCGCCAUAUAAAAACCUAAAUUAGAGUUGGAAAUAGAGGAAGAGAUUAAGAAAAGAAAGAAGGCAGAAACAGAUAGAGAAUUAAAAGCGACAGAUAAUAAACAACUAGAUAAACUAAACAAGCUAAGAAACAAGAAACUUCCACUAUGUCUUCUAAUUUAACACUGGCAGCAGAAUUUUCCAAUAAUACUGAUGAUGUCUUGCAGGCGGGAGUGGUGCCGCCGGCGGGAGAAGAUCCGGAAAAACCCUAUCAAGUACCCAUUUCACAAGAAGCCAUUAAUUUCAUGUUAAUAGGUCUCAUGGUUAUUUCUGUUAUUGGCAUUAUCAUUGGCAUCAUCUGCCGCAAAGAUGUGGGUGGCAUUAAGACAAAAUGCUGUCGCACCAAAAAACCUUUAGAUGAAAAAACAACAGAAGCAGGUUCUCCCGGUGAGGAGAUUCCUUUAAAUAAGUUAACUUAGUUUAUUUAUUAAGUUAAAUAAUUAAGUUAGAAUUUAAUUUUUUAAAAUCUACACAAAUUUUUGUUUCCCUUCAUCCACUCUGUAAAUAUUUAUAAACGAACAAACUGAUGAUCCCACAAACUCACACACACACAAAAAUAAAAGUAAAUUUUUCCAUAUAAGCAAAAACAUAUGUAUGUACUUGCCAAAUACAUUCUAUUGUCUGCUUAGUAAUUGUUGCUACAAUUAAUUUAAUUAACCAAAAGUUGAAUAGGUUUCUUUAUUAAUUUUAUAAGUUAACUUUAACUCUUUUUUUUAUAGCUUUUAUAAAAUCUAUAAUAGAAAAACUAGCAUUUAAGUAAUAAACUUUUUCUGUAAUAAGUGUAUUUUCUUGUCUAUAUGUAUUGUGUUUCUUCUUAGUUUUGUGGUUCGUAAAGCAACUAGUCUUGUCUGUAUCUUAUAUUUAGUUAUUUCUUUCUAUUUUCUAAAUAAUAAAUAGUUUUGUCUAAUAAAUAUAUAAAA